Molecule: ribosomal RNA, 497 nt
Filed under: uncultured bacterium
Lineage: Bacteria
Description: partial 16S ribosomal RNA
Rfam family: Bacterial small subunit ribosomal RNA
Source: RNAcentral
GAUGAACGCUGGCGGCGUGCCUAAUACACGCAAGUCGAGCGAACGGACGAGAAGCUUGCUUCUCUGAUGUUAGCGGCGGACGGGUGAGUAACACGUGGAUAACCUACCUAUAGGACUGGGAUAACUUCGGGAAACCGGAGCUAAUACCGGAUGAUAUUUUGAACCGCAUGGUUCAAAAGUGAAAGACGGUCUUGCUGUCACUUAUAGAUGGAUCCGCGCUGCAUUAGCUAGUUGGUAAGGUAACGGCUUACCAAGGCAACGAUGCAUAGCCGACCUGAGAGGGUGAUCGGCCACACUGGAACUGAGACACGGUCCAGACUCCUACGGGAGGCAGCAGUAGGGAAUCUUCCGCAAUGGGCGAAAGCCUGACGGAGCAACGCCGCGUGAGUGAUGAAGGUCUUCGGAUCGUAAAACUCUGUUAUUAGGGAAGAACAUAUGUGUAAGUAACUGUGCACAUCUUGACGGUACCUAAUCAGAAAGCCACGGCUAACUACGUG